RNAcentral lists this ribosomal RNA (116 nucleotides) under Verrucomicrobiaceae bacterium. The record is from RNAcentral. Lineage: Bacteria; Pseudomonadati; Verrucomicrobiota; Verrucomicrobiia; Verrucomicrobiales; Verrucomicrobiaceae.
UCUGGUGACCAUGGCACAGUGGUCCCACCCGUUCCCAUUCCGAACACGGAAGUGAAACGCUGUUGCGCCGAUGAUAGUAUGGCGAAAGGCCAUGUGAAAGUAGGACGUUGCCAGAU